AGAACUUAGCAGAGAUGCUUUGGUGCCUUCGGGAACUCUGAGACAGGUGCUGCAUGGCUGUCGUCAGCUCGUGUUGUGAAAUGUUGGGUUAAGUCCCGCAACGAGCGCAACCCUUAUCCUUUGUUGCCAGCGAUUCGGUCGGGAACUCAAAGGAGACUGCCAGUGAUAAACUGGAGGAAGGUGGGGAUGACGUCAAGUCAUCAUGGCCCUUACGAGUAGGGCUACACACGUGCUACAAUGGCAUAUACAAAGAGAAGCGACCUCGCGAGAGCAAGCGGACCUCAUAAAGUAUGUCGUAGUCCGGAUUGGAGUCUGCAACUCGACUCCAUGAAGUCGGAAUCGCUAGUAAUCGUGGAUCAGAAUGCCACGGUGAAUACGUUCCCGGGCCUUGUACACACCGCCCGUCACACCAUGGGAGUGGGUUGCAAAAGAAGUAGGUAGCUUAACCUUCGGGAGGGCGCUUACCACUUUGUGAUUCAUGACUGGGGUGAAGUCGUAACAAGGUAACCGUAGGGGAACCUGCGGUUGGAUCACCUCCUUA
This 541-nucleotide ribosomal RNA is filed under the name Klebsiella oxytoca. Its description in RNAcentral is "bacterial SSU rRNA". It matches the Rfam family "Bacterial small subunit ribosomal RNA", at positions 992 to 1533 of the family's 1533-position model. The record is from RNAcentral. RNAcentral also lists the same sequence under 1 other name. Lineage: Bacteria; Pseudomonadati; Pseudomonadota; Gammaproteobacteria; Enterobacterales; Enterobacteriaceae.